AAUUGAAAUAAUAUUUAGUUUAAUUUUAGUUAAUCUUAGCUUAAGUUGUUUUAAUUUGUUUCAUUUAAAUUAAAUCGAUGAUCUAAAUAUUAGGAAAAUUAAAAUACAUCUUAUAAUUGAAAACAAUUCUAUGAACAUGAUAUUUUACUUAUUCAAUAUUAUUUGUGUGAUUUCGUAUAUUUAUGGACGCGUAUUAAUUAAACUUUCACGCUGAUAACAAUUUUCGCUAACUAUCCUAAUGUUCCAAAAGAAAGGUGGUAAAUGACUCAUUGUCAAAUAGCAGGUGACAGAAGAAUAUUAGAAUUGCACAAUACACAGCCACCUUUGAACCAAAAAAAAAAGAAAAGCUCUUCAUUUGCUAGCAGAUUUUGAAGCCCGUGUCUUUAUGGGAACUAUAAUGUAAGCAAAAUGUUUCUCUUGGAGGUAGGGAUUCUUUGACUCCAACUAUUUCACUCAGCUUUCCCACCCAUUUCCAUAAAACUGGAAAUUUCUCUUCA
RNAcentral lists this unclassified non-coding RNA (497 nucleotides) under Hevea brasiliensis (rubber tree). Lineage: Eukaryota; Viridiplantae; Streptophyta; Magnoliopsida; Malpighiales; Euphorbiaceae. The record is from RNAcentral.